AUGCUGAGUGGGUGGAGGAAAAAAAUAUGCAUGUAUAUAAUGAGAUAAUAAAAAGUGACCACAGUAAAUGAGAGAGAACAGAGCAGAUCAUUUAACACCUCCUGAGAACAUGAAGAGCAGCUCUGUGGCUUUUUGCUUGGGCCUUGUCAUCAACAUGGCACUUUCCUCUAGUGCAAUCCCUAGAAGCUUUGAUAACGGAUCGUGCUGUUACAAGUUCUACACUGGCAAAAUUGAUUCUAAAGGAAUCCUGAAGGUGAUGAAGACAGACUCACGCUGUUCAAAGCAAGGCUUCAUUGUUAAGAGGCCUAAGAGCUAUGUGUGUGUCCUGAAAAACCCCCUAAUAAUAAAUUAAAUCUACUAAAAUCGAAUCGGACAAACUUUAUUAAUGGAACAAACUGUUGAUGCAUAAUGUAUAAAAAUGCAAUAAUGAAGUGAAAAAAAUCUCAUGCUUUUAUAACAUGAAACUGUAUUAAUUAAUGACUAAUUAAUUUAUUUUAAAUAGCACUGUGUAACCCUGUAUAACAACACACACACAUACAAACAUACAAAGCUAUCUGCUAAUAAAGAUUUUAAUACUUUUUAA
Long non-coding RNA from Tachysurus vachellii, 583 nucleotides. RefSeq lists it as uncharacterized. The record is from RefSeq and is a predicted model, not a curated record. NCBI's taxonomy places the organism in Eukaryota, Metazoa, Chordata, Actinopteri, Siluriformes, Bagridae. The transcript is spliced from 3 exons.